GGGCGGUUAGCUCAGCGGGAGAGCACUACCCUGACACGGUAGGGGUCACAAGUUCAAUCCUUGUACCGCCCACCA
This 75-nucleotide transfer RNA is filed under the name Magnetococcales bacterium. Its description in RNAcentral is "tRNA-Val". It matches the Rfam family "tRNA". From Rfam's summary of the family: Transfer RNA (tRNA) molecules are approximately 80 nucleotides in length. Their secondary structure includes four short double-helical elements and three loops (D, anti-codon, and T loops). Further hydrogen bonds mediate the characteristic L-shaped molecular structure. tRNAs have two regions of fundamental functional importance: the anti-codon, which is responsible for specific mRNA codon recognition, and the 3' end, to which the tRNAs corresponding amino acid is attached (by aminoacyl-tRNA synthetases). tRNAs cope with the degeneracy of the genetic code in two manners: having more than one tRNA (with a specific anti-codon) for a particular amino acid; and 'wobble' base-pairing, i.e. permitting non-standard base-pairing at the 3rd anti-codon position. The record is from RNAcentral. Lineage: Bacteria; Pseudomonadati; Pseudomonadota; Magnetococcia; Magnetococcales.